UUGUCAGGUCCCGUGUUUGUUUGAGGUAGUUGUGGUAAUAUCGGAUUUGGUUCUGGUGGUGGUACAUCGUGCUCUUCACGUCCUUCACGCUCUUUCAGCCUUGCGGGCCUCCUUUCUCUCGGUCUACCAUCAAUGUGCUAUUCACAAUUCAGCAUGCAGCCUUACAUGUACUGUACGUGUACGUCAUGUCUCAAAUCAUCAAUUUGAUGUAACUCAGAAUUUGUGAAGUUUCUGUGCUCUCUGCAGUUUGGUAUUGUGUGGCUUCCCACAGCUUGCUGGCUAUUGAGGGACAUACAUCAUUGGCUUCCAGUAAACUAAGAACAGAGCAGUUGAUCAUCUCUGUCAUCUCAUCAAACAGCAGUUUUAGAUGCCUUACAGAUUUCACAUUUAAGGCAGAGAUAGUCACAAAUGCACAGAGAGAUGCUGAUGUCAGCAGAGGUAGAUGUGCUGAAGUCGGCAGACGUGCCAAAGUCGGCAGAGGCAGACAAGCUGAUGUUGAUUGAGCGUGGAAGACACCUAGAUGGACAUCGACAGGAGGAGAGACAGACGGAAGCGAGAUGACUAUCCUGAAGGUUA
Molecule: long non-coding RNA, 576 nt
Organism: Acanthaster planci (crown-of-thorns starfish)
Lineage: Eukaryota; Metazoa; Echinodermata; Asteroidea; Valvatida; Acanthasteridae
Source: RefSeq, a predicted model, not a curated record